AAUGAACGCUGGCGGCAGGCCUAACACAUGCAAGUCGAACGGAUCCUUCGGGAUUAGUGGCGGACGGGUGAGUAACGCGUGGGAACAUACCCUUUGGUACGGAAUAGCCUCGGGAAACUGGGAGUAAUACCGUAUGUGGUCGAGAGAUGAAAGAUUUAUCGCCAAAGGAUUGGCCCGCGUUGGAUUAGGUAGUUGGUGGGGUAAUGGCCUACCAAGCCGACGAUCCAUAGCUGGUUUGAGAGGAUGAUCAGCCACACUGGGACUGAGACACGGCCCAGACUCCUACGGGAGGCAGCAGUGGGGAAUCUUAGACAAUGGGGGAAACCCUGAUCUAGCCAUGCCGCGUGAUCGAUAAAGGCCUUAGGGUUGUAAAGAUCUUUCAGGUGGGAAGAUAAUGACUGUACCACCAGAAGAAGCCCCGGCUAACUCCGUGCCAGCCGCCGCGGUAA
Molecule: ribosomal RNA, 449 nt
Filed under: uncultured bacterium
Lineage: Bacteria
Description: partial 16S ribosomal RNA
Rfam family: Bacterial small subunit ribosomal RNA
Source: RNAcentral